AUGCAUCUGACAGACAAGGAGCAGUUACUGUCUGCUGCUAAGGUUUUCACUAGAGAGCAAGGAAAAAAGUGUCCUCACACUUUCUGAUUGUGACAGCCAAGACUGAAUGGAGAGAUACAGAA
RNAcentral lists this small nucleolar RNA (122 nucleotides) under Vulpes vulpes (red fox). Its description in RNAcentral is "Small nucleolar RNA SNORA31 (ENSVVUG00000009591.1)". The record is from RNAcentral. Lineage: Eukaryota; Metazoa; Chordata; Mammalia; Carnivora; Canidae.